GGCUUGGUGGUCUAGAGGUAUGAUUCCUUCUUAGGGCUUAAUAAAGUUGUUAAAUAAUUAACAAAGAGUCACGUGAUGGAGGAGGCCCUGGGUUCGAUUCCCAGCCAAGCCC
Non-coding RNA from Rhodofomes roseus, 112 nucleotides. The record is from the annotation of a RefSeq genome assembly. NCBI's taxonomy places the organism in Eukaryota, Fungi, Basidiomycota, Agaricomycetes, Polyporales, Fomitopsidaceae.